GACGAACGCUGGCGGCGUGCCUAAUACAUGCAAGUUGAGCGAUGAAGCUUGGUGCUUGCACCAAUUUGAAGAGCAGCGAACGGGUGAGUAACGCGUGGGGAAUCUGCCUUUGAGCGGGGGACAACAUUUGGAAACGAAUGCUAAUACCGCAUAACAACUUUAAACAUAAGUUUUAAGUUUGAAAGAUGCAAUUGCUUCACUCAAAGAUGAUCCCGCGUUGUAUUAGCUAGUUGGUGAGGUAAAGGCUCACCAAGGCGAUGAUACAUAGCCGACCUGAGAGGGUGAUCGGCCACAUUGGGACUGAGACACGGCCCAAACUCCUACGGGAGGCAGCAGUAGGGAAUCUUCGGCAAUGGACGAAAGUCUGACCGAGCAACGCCGCGUGAGUGAAGAAGGUUUUCGGAUCGUAAAAAUCUGUUGGUAGAGAAGAAAGUUGGUGAGAGUGGAAAGCUCAUCAAGUGACGGUAACUACCCAGAAAGGGACGGCUAACUACGUG
Molecule: ribosomal RNA, 497 nt
Filed under: uncultured bacterium
Lineage: Bacteria
Description: partial 16S ribosomal RNA
Rfam family: Bacterial small subunit ribosomal RNA
Source: RNAcentral